This 7488-nucleotide long non-coding RNA is filed under the name Zea mays. Its description in RNAcentral is "long non-coding RNA (ZMAY_LNC005235)". The record is from RNAcentral. Lineage: Eukaryota; Viridiplantae; Streptophyta; Magnoliopsida; Poales; Poaceae.
ACGGUCCAGCAACCCAAAGUUGACUGGGAGACGACGGCCUAGAUCUCUCACGAACUCAUCGCAGCAUCCUCCUUGCGCCUCAUCCUGCGGUACCUGUUCUUGACCUGUGGGGGGUGUGAGACAGCAAGAGUGAGCUCACAUACGUUCAUCGCUCAACAAGUUGUGGGGAAUAAUGUGCAUGAACUCGCCAAAGGUGGGAGCUCACGUGAAGUGUAAGGCUUACCAAAGAGGAUGGUUAGAGCUGAGCAUUGCUUUUAAAGUUGGUCAAAAUUUUAUUAGCAAUUACUAAGUAUAAGUAAAUACCAACCCAAUUAAAUAGUAGAACAAAAGUAACAACAUCACCUGCGAUGCAAUGCAUAUGACAAAUUGAAUUUAGUUCCAUAAAUUAAUCAUCAGAGAGUCCUGAGCUGCUCAUGACCGUGAGCUCGGCUAGUAUACCAGUUUUACACUCUGCAGAGGUGGUACCCUUUACCCACAAGUCAUGUUACCCAUCUGCCAAGGGAUCGCGACUUCCCAUACACCUCUACCGAGGAGGCGAGGCAGGGUAACACUACGAGGCCUUUACAAAGUUCCACUAGCUUCAGAAAACCCGCUACAGUUUAUAGGAAGCUCCAAUGCAGGGUUCUUGCCUGACCGCCAUCGCAGCAAAAUCAACCAAGGACCUCCCUACACUGACCACUCCCCUACUGCCCUUGCCCCUUUCGGGUAAGGUAGUCCUCCACUAGCUUUCCUAAUUAAUCAGCCAAGGGCGUCCAUAAACCCUUGUGGUGGCACGUGUUUCUCAAGUUAAGCUCUAUGUUCCAAUUAACAUUAAUGAUCUUGACAUGAACAGUAAAUAACAACGGAUAACAAAAGUAUAAUCAUGAAUAAUGUGUAUCUCAAUGCCCAAAACCACAUAUAGCACUAGCAAGUACUACCCAAAAAGUUCAGUGGUAAACAAGGCAUAAAGAUAGACAAACUAGGGUAACCUAUUAGGUCCCAUCAAAAUUAACCUAUACAGAUCAUUAUGAUUAAUUAGAACAUGAGUGGGUAAAAGAAGUGAUCAAGGGCACAACUUGCCUGGCACUUGAGAUUCCAGGUACCAACUUGCUCUUCAGAUUCUCGUGACCUCACCGCUAUUCGUAGCAAUACAUACAAAUAGGCAAGAAUCAUAUAAAAAUAACAGUACACCAAACAUGAGAACAAACAGCGUAAGAAUAUUCUAUGCGAUGCUACAAGAUCGUGGGAUCGAGAACCACUAAAAUCGGAGUCAUGGUUAAGGAGUUAUGAUCUAUAAAAGCUCUACGUGACCUAAAUAUUAAACUAUAGUAUAGAUCAUAUGAGAGAUUAUUCUAUAAAUAAUUAUCUCAACUUUAAUCUAAGUCAUUAUUUUAUUAAAGAUUAUCUAGUUAAAUUAUAACCAUAAAGUUAGAAUACUAUAUUAAUAUUAAAGAAAUUAAUCCAAUAAACAUAGAUUAACCCAAUUAUAAAAGUACGGGAUAUCAUACAAUAAGUGUUUCUAUUGUGUAGUAGAUAUUUAUACAAAACUAACACAACUUGAACGGAUCAAUUCGGAGUUAAAACGGGGAAGUUAUGAAUUUCUGAAGAUUUUAUGUGUUCGGUAUAAGAUUAAAUAUGAUAUUAAUUUUAAUGUAACUUUAAUGUCAAAACAGAGAUAGUAUGUGAUACACAAUAAUAUUAUAGAAUUAUAGAAAUUGGAAUGGGUCAAUUUGAAGUUCAUAUGAAUUUUAUAUGAAUUAAACAAACUCUAGCCAUUAAAAAUAGAUUUCUAAUUCCUUUUCCUGGAUUUCCUAUUCACUGGACUGGGCGCAUGAGUACAUAAAAAUCCAGGGGCUAAACCAUAAAUAUUUCCCAGACUCAGAGUACUACACAAUGGAUCGCGGGUUGAUUCCCAAAUUCUUCGAGGUCUCUUAUGCAAAACUACGUAGCCGAAGGGGUAUCGUUGCUUUUCGGCCGUCCGAUCAAAACGAACGGCCCAGAUUUGCUCUGAUAAAAAAUCCGAACCGGUACGUAAUCUUAACCGUUGGAUCAUAGAUCUACGGAUCAAAACCCCACACGCCCACAUCUAAUCCCAACCGCUUACUAGAGGAUCGACGGUCCGGAUCGGAUCUCCGAGCCGCCAUCUACCGCAUCUAUCUUUGGCCCACGAUCGAGAUCCCACGGUCAAGAUCGCCCCCACCCUUCGUCAUGGAUCCGAUGGCUCACGAGCUUCUUCUCCACGCGAAUACCAGGUCUGGCAGCACCGUUCCCCCCCCCCUACGGCGGACGCCAUAGCUAGACCACCCAUUCACCGCUCCCGGGCACGAAAUUCUAAUCUGAGGUACGCUACGCGCAGAUAAGAUGUAGGAGAAUAGGAUGAAGGCUCCAUACCGGGGUUCGCAGGCAACGGAGGAGGCGGUCCACGACAGCGUGCGGAUCCAGGCCGAGCACCACACCGGUGAGGAAUCGCCAAGCGUCGGAGACCCCAUCUCACCCCAGUUGACCACGAUCAUCUUCGUGGGAACCAGACGGGGCUCCCAGACCCGUUCCCGGAUCCGAACGGUGGCACACCACGGCCCCACCCGGGCGGCAGUGUUUUUAUCUUAUGCGGCUCCAUCAAUGGCUACGGGAGCGCUGGUUCUUAUAUGCCCAAGAGCCCCGACCGAGUUAUGGACUCCGAUGAAGCUCGCCCGGAGAUCCCGCGAGACCGGUUGGAUAUGCCCAAGGGAAAGGGCAAGGCGUCCGCACUAAUCCCGCGUUGAACGCAUGCGCUCCCGAGAUCUCCUCGGUUUGUUGCGGUGGAGACCAGGUCGACGAAGGAGGCGGGUCUGCCAACACGGUCCCACACGGCGGUGAAACAACAGUCGCGACCGAGCAGGGGAAGGAAACAGCGGUUGGUGGGCUGGCUGCGUGGAGUUUGGAGAUGGGCCGAGCAGAGAAGAAGCGGCCCAGGCGCUAUCUUUCUCCCUUUUUAUUUUCUGAUUUCUUUUUUUUCCUUUUUUUUCCUAUUUCAAACCUCAAUUUGAAUUCAAUUCUUGUGGCGAAUUUGUACUCGAAUUUUGAAUGUAUGGUUUGAACAUAUUAUUUGGAUUAAAUUCAUUUUGUUUACAAAUUUAUUUUAUAUUCUAUGGUCUUUUCUCCCUUCCUUCCCUAUUUUCAACCCAAGUCUAAAUUUAGGUUUUACUUCAAAUCCUCUUCUCAUUAUUAUUAUAUUUUAAUUCAUAUUAUUGCUAUUCUUAUUAUCAUUACCACUGUAGACAAAUGCACAAACCAAUAAACACCAGCAUGAUGCAUGAUUUAAUUGUAUUUAUAUUCUUAUUAAUCAUUUAUUUUCAAAUGAAGUGUUCACAUGUGAUGAUAAAUGGAAAAAAAACACAUAUAAAGGAAAGGAAAUUCUCCUUUUAUUUCUUUUACAAAAUGGGUAUUACAAAUCCUACCCCCUUAAAAAUAAUCUCGUCCUCGAGAUUUGUAAGAAAAGGGAUAUAGAAAGUCAAAUGUUUGGUUGCAGUUUAGCUUCGAGUUUUUUUCCCAAGUGGUUUUAAGCACAAAUGUUUUCUAUAUACUUUUUUUAGUCAUUAAAUAAGGAAAUGAUUAGGAACACAUGGGUAUAUUAGGCAGAAGUAGAGAAGGUUGCGGUAAUAAGGAUUAGGGCAAAUAAAGAUUUCGUUAUGGAUGGUGGAUCUUGACUCAUCUGGUGAUUUCGUUUUGCCCUUUGAAGACUUGAGUUGGUGCUUAUCCUCCCUUGACGUGGUUGGUCUUCUUUGGCCCUCGAUCCUGGAGUUGCCAUCCGAGUUGAGGACAUAUGUCUAAGGAUAUAUAAUUAGGAUAGCCGGGGUACACGAGGUAGGUAGGUUUGAACAAAGUUUUACUUUACUUUUGUGAUAUCUGGAUUAGACAACCUAUGAUGUAGGUUAGGUUGUUGUUUACGGACCAGUUAGUCCAAGGUAUUAAUUUAGGGUAAGAUAUGUUUACAAAAUUAGGGUCUAAUUUAUGUCGCCAACAUUGUCUAACUUGUUUUUAAGUAACUCAAUUUGGAUUAGAUCAUGUUAGAUUAGGUGGGAUCUAGAUCAGAUUGGUAUAACUAGAUAAGAUCUAUUUAUAUUAGGCUAGAUCAUGGUUGUUACUGUAGAAUGGGAUAUGUAUGCCUAUUAGAACAAGAUAAUUCCAUAAGGAUAAGGUAGAAUCGUUUGAGGUCAGUUAGAUCUAUUAGGAUGACAUAAGACCCUUUUUAAGAUAAGAUGAGUAUUUUUUUAGGAUAAGAUGGAUCUAUGAGUGUAGGAUAGAAUCUUUUAAGAUGAGAUGGAUAUUGUUAGGCUAGAUACUUUAAUGAGGGAUAAUCUAGUUUAUCUAGUUUUUUUAAGUGUUUUUUCUAUAUGUAUAUGCAGAUGUAAUUGUGGAGAUUACUCCACAACUCAUCACACCCAAUCAAAGAUCCAAAUCAGACAAGUAUCAUAAGAACGAAAAUUCAAGUACAUAAAUACCUACAAAAAUAGUUUGUUUUUUGUUCCUAUAAGUAGGUCUCCUAUUCCUAAAAGUCACUUUAGGUGUAGGAUUUCAAAGUGUGAAAUCCACAUUUGUCUUUAGAAAGAAAAGGUAAGAGUAAUCAGAGUAGAGCGGAAAUAGAUUAGAAAAGAUUACGAUAAGUUUAGAAAAGAUCAGAGUAGCAAAGGUAAGUGAGUAUUGGUUGUCCAGUUCUAUCUAGGUUUCGUCCUACAGUCAACAUUCCUCUGAUACCACUUCUGUCACACCCGGGUUUUAGGGGUUCAAAGCCCGGGCGCGAACAUAAUCACCAGGUGUGCUGGGACCAAGUCUCACACAUAUGAUGAAUCAUGGCACAGGAUCGAAUGUCACAUCUUUACUAUAUAAUAGGAGUUCUAUACAAAAUAAAUAAAUAAUUACAUUAUAAGGAGACAACGGUCCAGCAACCCAAAGUUGACUGGGAGACGACGGCCUAGAUCUCUCACGAACUCAUCGCAGCAUCCUCCUUGCGCCUCAUCCUGCGGUACCUGUUCUUGACCUGUGGGGGGGUGUGAGACAGCAAGAGUGAGCUCACAUACGUUCAUCGCUCAACAAGUUGUGGGGAAUAAUGUGCAUGAACUCGCCAAAGGUGGGAGCUCACGUGAAGUGUAAGGCUUACCAAAGAGGAUGGUUAGAGCUGAGCAUUGCUUUUAAAGUUGGUCAAAAUUUUAUUAGCAAUUACUAAGUAUAAGUAAAUACCAACCCAAUUAAAUAGUAGAACAAAAGUAACAACAUCACCUGCGAUGCAAUGCAUAUGACAAAUUGAAUUUAGUUCCAUAAAUUAAUCAUCAGAGAGUCCUGAGCUGCUCAUGACCGUGAGCUCGGCUAGUAUACCAGUUUUACACUCUGCAGAGGUGGUACCCUUUACCCACAAGUCAUGUUACCCAUCUGCCAAGGGAUCGCGACUUCCCAUACACCUCUACCGAGGAGGCGAGGCAGGGUAACACUACGAGGCCUUUACAAAGUUCCACUAGCUUCAGAAAACCCGCUACAGUUUAUAGGAAGCUCCAAUGCAGGGUUCUUGCCUGACCGCCAUCGCAGCAAAAUCAACCAAGGACCUCCCUACACUGACCACUCCCCUACUGCCCUUGCCCCUUUCGGGUAAGGUAGUCCUCCACUAGCUUUCCUAAUUAAUCAGCCAAGGGCGUCCAUAAACCCUUGUGGUGGCACGUGUUUCUCAAGUUAAGCUCUAUGUUCCAAUUAACAUUAAUGAUCUUGACAUGAACAGUAAAUAACAACGGAUAACAAAAGUAUAAUCAUGAAUAAUGUGUAUCUCAAUGCCCAAAACCACAUAUAGCACUAGCAAGUACUACCCAAAAAGUUCAGUGGUAAACAAGGCAUAAAGAUAGACAAACUAGGGUAACCUAUUAGGUCCCAUCAAAACUAACCUAUACAGAUCAUUAUGAUUAAUUAGAACAUGAGUGGGUAAAAGAAGUGAUCAAGGGCACAACUUGCCUGGCACUUGAGAUUCCAGGUACCAACUUGCUCUUCAAAUUCUUGUGACCUCACCGCUAUUCGUAGCAAUACAUACAAAUAGGCAAGAAUCAUAUAAAAAUAACAGUAUACCAAACAUGAGAACAAACAGCGUAAGAAUAUUCUAUGCGAUGCUACAAGAUCGUGGGAUCGAGAACCACUAAAAUCGGAGUCAUGGUUAAGGAGUUAUGAUCUAUAAAAGCUCUACGUGACCUAAAUAUUAAACUAUAGUAUAGAUCAUAUGAGAGAUUAUUCUAUAAAUAAUUAUCUCAACUUUAAUCUAAGUCAUUAUUUGAUUAAAGAUUAUCUAGUUAAAUUAUAACCAUAAAGUUAGAAUACUAUAUUAAUAUUAAAGAAAUUAAUCCAAUAAACAUAGAUUAACCCAAUUAUAAAAGUAUGGGAUAUCAUACAAUAAGUGUUUCUAUUGUGUAGUAGAUAUUUAUACAAAACUAACACAACUUGAACGGAUCAAUUCGGAGUUAAAACGAGGAAGUUAUGAAUUUCUGAAGAUUUUAUGUGUUCGGUAUAAGAUUAAAUAUGAUAUUAAUUUUAAUGUAACUUUAAUGUCAAAACAGAGAUAGUAUGUGAUACACAAUAAUAUUAUAGAAUUAUAGAAAUUGGAAUGGGUCAAUUUGAAGUUCAUAUGAAUUUUAUAUGAAUUAAACAAACUCUAGCCAUUAAAAAAUAGAUUUCUAAUUCCUUUUCCUGGAUUUCCUAUUCACUGGACUGGGCGCAUGAGUACAUAAAAAUCCAGGGGCUAAACCAUAAAUAUUUCCCAGACUCAGAGUACUACACAAUGGAUCGCGGGUUGAUUCCCAAAUUCUUCGAGGUCUCUUAUGCAAAACUACGUAGCCGAAGGGGUAUCGUUGCUUUUCGGUCGUCCGAUCAGAAACGAACAGCCUAGAUUUGCUCUGAUAAAAAAAUCCGAACCGGUACGUAAUCUUAACCGUUGGAUCAUAGAUCUAUGGAUCAAAACCCCACACGCCCACAUCUAAUCCCAACCGCUUACUAGAGGAUCGACGGUCCGGAUCGGAUCUCCGAGCCGCCAUCUACCGCAUCUAUCUUUGGCCCACGAUCGAGAUCCCACGGUCAAGAUCGCCCCCACCCUUCGUCAUGGAUCCGAUGGCUCACGAGCUUCUUCUCCACGCAAAUACCAGGUCUGGCAGCACCGUUCCCCCCCUACGGCGGACGCCAUAGCCAGACCACCCAUUCACCGCUCCCGGGCACGAAAUUCUAAUCUGAGGUACGCUACGCGCAGAUAAGAUGUAGGAGAAUAGGAUGAAGGCUCCAUACCGGGGUUCGCAGGCAACGGAGGAGGCGGUCCACGACAGCGUGCGGAUCCAGGCCGAGCACCACACCGGUGAGGAAUCGCCAAGCGUCGGAGACCCCAUCUCACCCCAGUUGACCACGAUCAUCUUCGCGGGAACCAGACGGGGCUCCCAGACCCGUUCCCGGAUCCGAACGGUGGCACACCACGGCCCCACCCGUGGCGGCAGUGUUUUUAUCUUAUGCGGCUCC